Non-coding RNA from Candidatus Stoquefichus sp. KLE1796, 83 nucleotides. The record is from Rfam. NCBI's taxonomy places the organism in Bacteria, Bacillati, Bacillota, Erysipelotrichia, Erysipelotrichales, Erysipelotrichaceae.
AUAUGUAAAUGGCUAAACUAUUGAAAAAUAGUGACGCAAAGCUAUAGGGUCUAAGUCGUAAGAUAAGACAGCCAGUUGCCAAU